Long non-coding RNA from Prosopis cineraria, 1045 nucleotides. RefSeq lists it as uncharacterized. NCBI's taxonomy places the organism in Eukaryota, Viridiplantae, Streptophyta, Magnoliopsida, Fabales, Fabaceae. The transcript is spliced from 3 exons. The record is from RefSeq and is a predicted model, not a curated record.
UCAAUCAGAAAGUAGAUCUGUUCAGACAGAAAGGAGGAGACACAGAAAGCACCUUCCCUACUUUAUUCAUUGAAUAAGCUUGUGCAUCAGAGACUCACAUCAGUAGAAGCAUUUUGUCUCCAUUUGUAUACCAUGCUAGUUUAAACAAGAAAACUCCAUGGGGGAAGAAUAAGAGAGUAUAACGAGUUGUGUGUCAGAAACUUCAAGGACUUCAUGAACACCAAUAGGGCUGACAUCAGCCCGAAAUGCGUUUCCUUCAAUGUGCCUGCGGAGGAAAAGAGCACAUGAUUACUCCGUUCAGUGAGAAAGAUGACAAUGAGCGAUUCCCAAUUUCUGAAGGUUUAUUAAGCUCAUAUUUGUGCCUGUUGCACCUCAGUCUAAUAUCCUUGCAAUUACACACCAACACAACAUGAUAAACAACAUAACUUUGAUCAAAUGGAGGAAUCUACAGGUUAUUGAACAGGGCAACAAACAUCAAAUGGUGACAAGGAGUAAAGCUGGAAUUCAUAAGCCAAAGCUACCCUAUGUUGGUAUGGUAAACCACAGAAGCUAAUUCAGCUGUAGAACCUUCCAAUGUUAAAGAAGCUCUACACAAUCUAACAUUUGGAAAAAGGCUAUGGAAGAAGAGUUCAAUGCUCUUAUGAAAAUCAAACCUAGAAAUUGGUUCCUUAUCUCAAAAAUCAGAAAGUUGUCGAUUGUAGAUGGGUGUUUAAACACAAGGUGAAUCCUGAGGGCUUAACCUCUAAGCAUAAAGCAAGGCUUGUUGGUAAGGCUUUCAACAACUUCUAGGGAUUGAUUUUGAUGAGACAUUUAGUCAUGUUCUCAAGACCACUACCCUAAGGUUUGUUCUUAUUGUUGUUGUUACACUUGACUAGCCAAUUAGACAGAUGAAUAUUAAUAAUGCAUUUCUAAUUAGAAUUCUAAAAGAGGAAGUAUUAAUGAAGGGUCUUGAAGGAUUGUAAAUCCUAAAUAUCCUAAUCAUGUUUGCUCUUUACAAAAAGCAAUUUAUGGUUUAAAGCAAGCUCUUAGAGCUUAGUUUGAUAAA